CGUGCCUAAGAAAUGCAAGUCGGGCGAGGCCAUGUAGCUUGCUCCGGAAGCCUAGCGGCGAACGGUCGCGUAACACGUAAGCAAGCUGCCCCAAAGUUUGGGAUAGCCCUCCGAAAGGGGGAUAAUACCGGAUGUGGAUGUUGAUAUGCAUGUAUUAACAUCUAAAGCAUUUAUGCGCUUUGGGAUGGGCUUGCGGCCUAUCAGCUAGUUGGUGAGGUAACGGCUCACCAAGGCGACGACGGGUAGCUGGUCUGAGAGGAUGGUCAGCCGGACUGGGACUGAGACACGGCCCAGACUCCUACGGGGGGCAGCAAUUAGGAAUCUUGCGCAAUGGGCGAAAGCCUGACGCAGCGACGUCGCGUGAACGAUGAAGUCUUUCGGGAUGUAAAGUUCUUUUCUGAGGGAAGAAGGAUGUGACGGUACCUCAGGAAUAAGCCCCGGCUAACUACGUGCCAGCAGCCGCGGUAAUACGUAGGGGGCGAGCGUUGUCCGAAUUUACUGGGCGUAAAGCGCGCGUAGGCGGACUCUUAAGUUGGUGGUGAAAUGCCGAGGCUCAACCUCGGAACUGCCUUCAAAACUGGGAGUCUUGAGGCUUGGAGAGGGAAGUGGAAUUCCUGGUGUAGCGGUGAAAUGCGUAGAUAUCAGGAGGAACACCGAUGGCGAAGGCAGCUUCCUGGCCA
This 680-nucleotide ribosomal RNA is filed under the name uncultured organism. RNAcentral describes it as "bacterial SSU rRNA". It matches the Rfam family "Bacterial small subunit ribosomal RNA", at positions 43 to 735 of the family's 1533-position model. The record is from RNAcentral.